Molecule: ribosomal RNA, 468 nt
Filed under: uncultured bacterium
Lineage: Bacteria
Description: partial 16S ribosomal RNA
Rfam family: Bacterial small subunit ribosomal RNA
Source: RNAcentral
GACGAACGCUGGCGGCGUGCUUAACACAUGCAAGUCGAACGGAAAGGCCCUGCUUUUGUGGGGUGCUCGAGUGGCGAACGGGUGAGUAACACGUGAGUAACCUGCCCUUGACUUUGGGAUAACUUCAGGAAACUGGGGCUAAUACCGGAUAGGAGCUCCUGCUGCAUGGUGGGGGUUGGUAAGUUUCGGCGGUUGGGGAUGGACUCGCGGCUUAUCAGCUUGUUGGUGGGGUAGUGGCUUACCAAGGCUUUGACGGGUAGCCGGCCUGAGAGGGUGACCGGCCACAUUGGGACUGAGAUACGGCCCAGACUCCUACGGGAGGCAGCAGUGGGGAAUAGUGCACAAUGGGCGGAAGCCUGAUGCAGCAACGCCGCGUGCGGGAUGACGGCCUUCGGGUUGUAAACCGCUUUCGCCUGUGACGAAGCGUGAGUGACGGUAAUGGGUAAAGAAGCACCGGCUAACUACGUG